Molecule: long non-coding RNA, 346 nt
Organism: Mauremys mutica (yellowpond turtle)
Lineage: Eukaryota; Metazoa; Chordata; Testudines; Geoemydidae
Exons: 3
Source: RefSeq, a predicted model, not a curated record
AACAAGUGGCACCACCCCACAGUCUGGCACCUGAGGCAGCCGUCUCAGUUCGCCUCAUGGCUCCCAAUUAGUCUUUGCCUGCUCAUGUGGUCCAGAGAAGUAAUCCCAAAUCUUGCCCUUUCUGAAGAUACGUUAAGACUAAUCUUCAAAAUGAGCUCCAAGGCAUGUCCACUCAGAUAUGAAGGAAGGUUUAAAGCAGUGGUAUGUGACCCUGAAGACCUCAAGAGUCACUUCCAUGGAGUAGAGUUGCAAUGUAAUACAUGCUGGAGUCCUGAUGCUGUUGUGUGCAGGGUGAUACUGUCAUCCCAUCUUGAUACAGCAGCACAAUAAAAGCACCACAAAACAA